UACGGGAGGCAGCAGUGGGGAAUAUUGCACAAUGGGCGCAAGCCUGAUGCAGCCAUGCCGCGUGUAUGAAGAAGGCCUUCGGGUUGUAAAGUACUUUCAGUCGUGAGGAAGGUGUUAAGGUUAAUAACCUUAGCAAUUGACGUUAGCGACAGAAGAAGCACCGGCUAACUCCGUGCCAGCAGCCGCGGUAAUACGGAGGGUGCGAGCGUUAAUCGGAAUUACUGGGCGUAAAGGGCACGCAGGCGGUUAAUUAAGUUGGAUGUGAAAUCCCCGGGCUUAACCUGGGAAUGGCAUUCAAGACUGGUUAGCUAGAGUCUUGUAGAGGGGGUUAGAAUUCCAUGUGUAGCGGUGAAAUGCGUAGAGAUGUGGAGGAAUACCGGUGGCGAAGGCGGCCCCUGGACAAAGACUGACGCUCAUGUGCGAAAGCGUGGGGAGCAAACAGGGAUUUAGAUACC
RNAcentral lists this ribosomal RNA (455 nucleotides) under uncultured bacterium. Its description in RNAcentral is "bacterial SSU rRNA". It matches the Rfam family "Bacterial small subunit ribosomal RNA", at positions 340 to 786 of the family's 1533-position model. The record is from RNAcentral.